Molecule: long non-coding RNA, 337 nt
Filed under: Junco hyemalis (dark-eyed junco)
Lineage: Eukaryota; Metazoa; Chordata; Aves; Passeriformes; Passerellidae
Description: lncRNA (ENSJHYG00000013183.1)
Source: RNAcentral
ACAGGUCGUAUAAUAUCUUGUGUUUCCCAGAAAUGCCACAGCAGCCACCCAUCUCUCUUCAACUACUUUCUCAGCUAAAGGUGAAAUAUUUCUGCUCCAACUCAAGGCAUCCAGGAGUCAGACAUUUAUGUUUGGGCUGGUCAGAGCUGCAGCCAUUCUCCCUUUGCAGCUGACAAGGAGAAAUGGGAACCUCCAGAAGGUUGUUCAGCUUAUCCUCAGGCAGAUAUCUAUGGUGGAUCAGAAGAUUUGCUCUCAGAAAGUGCCUUCUUGUCUCCACUGCAAGAGUUCCUGUGACCACCAUCUCCUCCCAGGUUUGCACGCUGCAUAUCAAAACUGA